CCGAGAUAUCGGAAGUCCACAGCGUCAGGUUAUCACGCAGAAGCUGCAUGAUCAAAGUGCUGUCCUUGUAGGAUUCCUCACUCAGAGUGUCCAGCUCUGAGAUAGCCUCAUCGAAAGCCUGAGAUAAAGUAGAUUGCAAGCACGGUCAGGAGAGUUGAGGAUCUCGUAAUAAAACACCGAGAAGUUGAGGGCCAGCCCAAGUCUGAUAGGAUGAGUUGGGGGCAACUCUGCCAGGGCAAUAUCCUGAGCGGCUUUGUAUGCCACCAUGGUGUUCUCAGCAGCAUCCUUCCUCUCAGCUCCAGUCUUAAACUCUGCGAGGUACCUGUAGUAGUCGCCUUUCAUCUUGAGGUAGAAGACCUUGGACUCUGGAGCAGUGGAUGAAGGCACAAGGUGGGAGUCAAGAAGCUUGAGGAUGCCAUCACAGAUCUUGGAGAGCUCAGUUUCAAUCUUUCCCCUGUAUUCCUUGAUGAGCGUGCAACGAUCCUCAUUACCACGGCUCUCUUCCUUCUGUUCAAUGGAUGAUAUGAUGCGCCAUGACGCACGGCGAGCACCAAUAACAUUCUUGUAAGCAACUGAUAGAAGGUUGCGCUCCUCAACAGUGAGCUCCUCAGAGUCAACUGUCUUAGCAACCUUCUCCAUGAACUCAACCAUCUCCUCAUACCUCUCGGCCUGCUCUGCAAGCUUAGCCAUGUACACAUUCUCCUCACGGGAAAGCUCAGCAGGCUGCGACAUCUUCACUGUUUGUGUUUU
RNAcentral lists this small RNA (750 nucleotides) under Oryza sativa Japonica Group (Japanese rice). Its description in RNAcentral is "sRNA Os02g0580366". The record is from RNAcentral. Lineage: Eukaryota; Viridiplantae; Streptophyta; Magnoliopsida; Poales; Poaceae.